Molecule: ribosomal RNA, 828 nt
Filed under: Triticum aestivum (bread wheat)
Lineage: Eukaryota; Viridiplantae; Streptophyta; Magnoliopsida; Poales; Poaceae
Description: partial small subunit ribosomal RNA
Source: RNAcentral
AUGCCAGCCUCCUCCUGGUUCCACAAGCUCAGGGGGAGGAGCACAAGGAAGGCCAAGCGAUCGCCCGCGUGUCCGCCGAGUCCGACGCGCGGCUCCUCCGCCGCCGCCUCGCCGGAGUGCACGGACCAACAGACAAGCCAGCAGCGCCGGCCACCCGCGCUUCCACCGGCGGCGUGUGCCGGCUACUCUCCCAACAGAGCCUCCUACUACUUUCCGAGCGCGGACCGGGGAGCGCUCCGGUGCAUCGCCCCGCGCGGCGCCGACGACGACGACGGCGCGGCCUUGGACGUCCGUGUCGACGUCAUCCAUAGCCGCGCCGGCAGGCUCGGCGGCAUAGACGCGCCUCCGGCGACGCCGGAGCUCAACCUUCGGCGCAUCGUCACGAGGCCCGCCGCCAAGAACGACCCCGCGGAAGGCGUCGCCGUUGGCAGCAGCGCCGGCACCCCCACCUCGGCUGCCACGACGCCGACCACCUGCAGGGCGCGGGGGUUCCACGUGAAGCCGGCCGGCAGGCGGCGUCGGCGCGGCCACGACGACAAAAGUGCCCGGAAGGAAAAAACAGCCGAGGACGCGGGCAGCAGGAGACGGCGGUGGCUGUACGAGAGCCUGGUGGUGGUGAAGACAUCGUCGGACCCGGAGAGGGAUAUGGCGGAGAGCAUGGCGGAGAUGGUGGCGGCCAACCGCAUACGGUCAUCGGAGGACCUCGAGGAGCUGCUGGCGUGCUACCUCGCUCUCAACGCCGCCGAGCACCACCGCGCCGUCGUUGCCGCGUUCCGCCGUGUCUGGCUUCACAUCGCCGGCCAAAGAAUGCGCCACCUGCGACACUAA